UUAGGAGGCACCUCCUGCCAGUAAGAGCUGUUUGAAGCAGAUUGGUUAAUCAACUGACAGCUCCAGCCAUAUAUGCACAAAGCAAGGUUAACCAUCCAUUUGGUUAAAUCGAGAUGUCCAGCACUUGCUUAUCAGAUUUCUCUUGCCCUGAUACAGGAGGGAUGAUGAAAAUCACUUAACCUACUGGAUCAGGCUUUUUGCCGUGGUUGUUGAUGAAGAUGAAGCACAUACACAAAUCAUUAUGGGGCUGCUCAACUGGACUUCCCUUUCAGGAUGGAAUUCUUGAAGUAGCUUUGGGGGUAUUUUCUGAGCUACAGUAUGCCAUUGUGUAUUAUUCUUGCUGCAAUGCAAGAAUUUCUUUUUUUGUGUGUGUGUGAAGCCAGGCUCAUGCAGAAGGAGUUAUGCUGAUCACCAAAUAAAGGAACAAACAUCAAUUUGUUAAAAAUCUGGACUCGGCCUGUGUCAUCCUCACCCUGACCAGCUUUUGAGACAUCAUUAGACUUUGCACAUACAAUUUCCAUACUAUCUUUGGAGCCAUGUGGGCUAGGAAGUUGCUAUCCAUAUCAAGAAAAGAACUGCUAACCAGUAUGUUGUUUUGUGAUUGUACGAUGAGCCUUUGUGGAUAUUAAAAUCUGUGGAUGUUCAAGUCCCAUUAAAUACAGUGGCAUCGUAAAAUGG
Molecule: long non-coding RNA, 678 nt
Organism: Sceloporus undulatus (fence lizard)
Lineage: Eukaryota; Metazoa; Chordata; Lepidosauria; Squamata; Phrynosomatidae
Exons: 5
Source: RefSeq, a predicted model, not a curated record